GUGAAUCAUCGAAUUUUUGAACGCAAAUUGCACUCCCUGGUAUUCCGGGGAGUAUGCCUGUUUGAGGGUCGUUAGUAGAAAAAUAGAAGCAUCGCUCUUUUUUUUGAGGGUGAUCGCGUCGGAAUUGAGUUGUCUUUUAAAUGUUAAUUCAUGUCAAAGUGGCUUAUAUCUGAUCUAUCCGGUACG
This 186-nucleotide unclassified non-coding RNA is filed under the name Glomeraceae sp. Its description in RNAcentral is "partial contains 5.8S ribosomal RNA and internal transcribed spacer 2". The stretch from base 1 to 71 matches the Rfam family "5.8S ribosomal RNA", at positions 84 to 154 of the family's 154-position model. The record is from RNAcentral. Lineage: Eukaryota; Fungi; Glomeromycota; Glomeromycetes; Glomerales; Glomeraceae.